RNAcentral lists this ribosomal RNA (301 nucleotides) under uncultured bacterium. Its description in RNAcentral is "partial 16S ribosomal RNA". It matches the Rfam family "Bacterial small subunit ribosomal RNA", at positions 509 to 807 of the family's 1533-position model. The record is from RNAcentral.
CAGUAGCCGCGGGAAUACGUAGGUGGCAAGCGUUAUCCGGAAUUAUUGGGCGUAAAGCGCGCGUAGGCGGUUUUUUAAGUCUGAUGUGAAAGCCCACGGCUCAACCGUGGAGGGUCAUUGGAAACUGGAAAACUUGAGCGCAGAAGAGGAAAGUGGAAUUCCAUGUGUAGCGGUGAAAUGCGCAGAGAUAUGGAGGAACACCAGUGGCGAAGGCGACUCUCUGGUCUGUAACUGACGCUGAGGAGCGAAAGCGUGGGGAGCGAACAGGAUUAGAUACCCCAGUAGUCCCUGUCUCUUAUAC